UACGGGGGGGGCAAGCGUUGUUCGGAAUUACUGGGCGUAAAGGGCUCGUAGGCGGCCAACUAAGUCAGACGUGAAAUCCCUCGGCUUAACCGGGGAACUGCGUCUGAUACUGGAUGGCUUGAGUUUGGGAGAGGGAUGCGGAAUUCCAGGUGUAGCGGUGAAAUGCAUAGAUAUCUGGAGGAACACCGGUGGCGAAGGCGGCAUCCUGGACCAACACUGACGCUGAGUGAGCGAAAGCCAGGGGAGCAAACGGG
RNAcentral lists this ribosomal RNA (254 nucleotides) under uncultured bacterium. RNAcentral's name for it is "partial 16S ribosomal RNA". It matches the Rfam family "Bacterial small subunit ribosomal RNA", at positions 524 to 776 of the family's 1533-position model. The record is from RNAcentral.